GGUGGCGGAUGAGGCGGUCGCGGUGGGAAUUUUUCCCACUGAGGAAACUCCGGACUCGCGCCAACCCGGAUACUUCGGGCAACCGAAGGCUAUCUUGCCGAAAGGCAAGAUAGACGGAAAGUGUCACAGAAACGGAAACCGCCAACGGUCCUGCCUUUGGGCAGGAUGCGGGCAAGGGUGAAACAGUGCGGUAAGAGCGCACUACCUUGUCUCGCGAGAGGCAAGGUGGACAAACCCUAUCCGGAGCAAGGUCAAAUAGGGGCGAGAGGUUGGUUGGCCCUCGUUACUAGCCCCGGGUAGACCGCGCAGAUAAAUGACCGCCGAAAACAGAAUCCGGGUUAUCAUCCGCCACCACUA
RNAcentral lists this RNase P RNA (357 nucleotides) under Caldifarciminota bacterium. RNAcentral's name for it is "candidate division WOR-3 bacterium (hot springs metagenome) RNase P RNA component class A". It matches the Rfam family "Bacterial RNase P class A". Rfam says of the family: Ribonuclease P (RNase P) is a ubiquitous endoribonuclease, found in archaea, bacteria and eukarya as well as chloroplasts and mitochondria. Its best characterised activity is the generation of mature 5'-ends of tRNAs by cleaving the 5'-leader elements of precursor-tRNAs. The record is from RNAcentral. Lineage: Bacteria; Pseudomonadati; Caldifarciminota.